CCGUCACCACUAUGCUCCUUUAGCGUCCCUCGCACACUCGCGCGACACGUGAAACGAUACGACAUUGUUUCUUCUGUGCUUCACGCGGGGCUGCCAUGUUGUGUGUAUCAAUGUGCAUGGAGUAGUAGUAGUGAAGCUUGUGGCCCGCAGAUACGAGAUUGUAGAGCAGAGCGACAACGGGCCUCGCGGCGGGCAGAGGCAAAGCAACAGGCUAGGGGCAAUGCUACGCGGCAAAGCCAUGUGGUGGGGGGUCUCACAAGGAACUAAGAAAGGGGCCCUCGGGAGUGGGGCCUAGAACCCGCCGAUUGGUGUUUGCUCUGAGCUGAAAAUCGCUGCCCGCAUGAGCAAAAUGUUGAACAGCUCUGCUAUAAAGCAACUAUCGAGAGUUUUACUCUCAGAUGGAUACCCGCUCUAACAUAAAUGCCUUAUUUUUUAAUUUUGCGAUUAUUUAAAAUGAAAAAAAAGA
Molecule: long non-coding RNA, 466 nt
Organism: Megalopta genalis
Lineage: Eukaryota; Metazoa; Arthropoda; Insecta; Hymenoptera; Halictidae
Source: RefSeq, a predicted model, not a curated record